This 560-nucleotide ribosomal RNA is filed under the name Poropterus sphacelatus. RNAcentral's name for it is "partial 16S ribosomal RNA". It matches the Rfam family "Bacterial large subunit ribosomal RNA", at positions 1804 to 2636 of the family's 2925-position model. The record is from RNAcentral. Lineage: Eukaryota; Metazoa; Arthropoda; Insecta; Coleoptera; Curculionidae.
UUAUUAAAAACAUGGCCUAUUGAAAAUAAUUUUAGGUCGGGCCUGCCCAAUGAUAAAUUAAAUGGCCGCGGUAAUUUGACCGUGCAAAGGUAGCAUAAUCAAUAGUUUUUUAAUUGAAAGCUUGUAUGAAAGGUUUGAUGAAAAAAUAACUGUCUCUGUUUAAAUUUAUUAGAAAUUUAUUUUUAAGUGAAAAAGCUUAGAUAUAUAUAGUAGACGAGAAGACCCUAUAGAGUUUUAUAAUUAGUAGGAGAAAUUAUAUUUUAGAAUCUAAAGGUUUAUUUUAUAUAAUUAUUUAGUUGGGGUGAUUGAAAAAUUGAAUGAACUUUUUCUUUUAAAAUUCACUUAUUUGUGUGUUUUUGAUCCUUUGUUUGAGAUUAUAAGUUUAAAUUACCUUAGGGAUAACAGCGUAAUUUUUUUUGAAAGUUCUAAUUGAAAAAAAAGUUUGCGACCUCGAUGUUGGAUUAAAGUAAAUUAUUGGUGUAGAAGCUAAUAAGUAGGGUCUGUUCGACCUUUUGAACUUUACAUGAUCUGAGUUUAAACCGGUGUAAGCCAGGUCGGUU